GAUGAACGCUGGCGGCGUGCCUAAUACAUGCAAGUCGAGCGAACGGACGAGAAGCUUGCUUCUCUGAUGUUAGCGGCGGACGGGUGAGUAACACGUGGAUAACCUACCUAUAAGACUGGGAUAACUUCGGGAAACCGGAGCUAAUACCGGAUAAUAUUUUGAACCGCAUGGUUCAAAAGUGAAAGACGGUCUUGCUGUCACUUAUAGAUGGAUCCGCGCUGCAUUAGCUAGUUGGUAAGGUAACGGCUUACCAAGGCUACGAUGCAUAGCCGACCUGAGAGGGUGAUCGGCCACACUGGAACUGAGACACGGUCCAGACUCCUACGGGAGGCAGCAGUAGGGAAUCUUCCGCAAUGGGCGAAAGCCUGACGGAGCAACGCCGCGUGAGUGAUGAAGGUCUUCGGAUCGUAAAACUCUGUUAUUAGGGAAGAACAUAUGUGUAAGUAACUGUGCACAUCGUGACGGUACCUAAUCAGAAAGCCACGGCUAACUACGUG
RNAcentral lists this ribosomal RNA (497 nucleotides) under uncultured bacterium. RNAcentral describes it as "partial 16S ribosomal RNA". It matches the Rfam family "Bacterial small subunit ribosomal RNA", at positions 28 to 507 of the family's 1533-position model. The record is from RNAcentral.